CUACGGGAGGCAGCAGUGAGGAAUAUUGGACAAUGGGCGCAAGCCUGAUCCAGCCAUGCCGCGUGCAGGAAGAAGCAUCUAUGGUGUGUAAACUGCUUUUGUACGGGAAGAAACACUGCUACGUGUAGCAGCUUGACGGUACCGUAAGAAUAAGGAUCGGCUA
RNAcentral lists this ribosomal RNA (163 nucleotides) under uncultured Flavobacterium sp. RNAcentral's name for it is "16S ribosomal RNA". It matches the Rfam family "Bacterial small subunit ribosomal RNA", at positions 339 to 499 of the family's 1533-position model. The record is from RNAcentral. Lineage: Bacteria; Pseudomonadati; Bacteroidota; Flavobacteriia; Flavobacteriales; Flavobacteriaceae.